This 718-nucleotide long non-coding RNA is filed under the name Equus caballus (horse). RNAcentral describes it as "lncRNA (ENSECAG00000053867.1)". The record is from RNAcentral. Lineage: Eukaryota; Metazoa; Chordata; Mammalia; Perissodactyla; Equidae.
UGAGAUAUAACAUGAGGGCACGUUUUGAUGCUGCUUGGUCAGAAUGGGAAGCACAUGUCUCCAGUGUUCCUCUGGGCUUUGCCAGAUCAUUCAGAGCCCUGAGAUUUCCUUCGACCUGUGGUAUUUUUAUAACAUCUGCAAGCUACUUUUAACUGCUCUGCUGUCCCAACCCAGUGUCCCAGAUGCAGAAUGCAUGUGUCUUUCUGGAAGCACACUCAGAGGCCAUCUCAAACAUGCAGAAGGAUUUAGAAACAUUCAGAACCAUCAUCUCAGACUUCAAAUUUGGAAUUUGAUAAACCUCCCCAUGAUGGCCAUUUAUGAUAUUUCUCGUCAAAAUUCCUUCUUCUGGGAAAUGCGUACCCAUCUCUUAGCCUGCAUCCUAGUCCAUGUGUUUGUAGAUAGAUUUUUCAUAAUUUAGUGUAAACCUAACACCAACUCUCCAUCAAACAUCAGUCACAAGGGUUGAGUUCAGAUUUGAGUAGAUGCUUUGCUCUCUUAGUAGGCACCGGUAAAUCUUUGUAGAAAUGCUUGUACUAUUCUGGGUGUUAAACAUUUUGAAUAUAUUGCGAGGUAAUCUUGCAGCUCUGUGAACACACUAUCAGCUACCUACAAACCAUCACAUAUUCAUUUAGUCCAUAUGGGUAAAUCUUAUGUUUCUAAAAAAUUAAGAAUCUUAUCAGUCUAAUUUUAGAGAACUUUUAGAACACACAGUUUUGAG